RNAcentral lists this unclassified non-coding RNA (770 nucleotides) under Hevea brasiliensis (rubber tree). The record is from RNAcentral. Lineage: Eukaryota; Viridiplantae; Streptophyta; Magnoliopsida; Malpighiales; Euphorbiaceae.
GUUUUGGGGAAUUUGUUAUUAUUAUUAUUAUGGAUGAAUAAAUUUCAUAAGUUUUACACCAUCUCCUUGACAAUAACUGAGUUGUAUAUUACCAGAAUUUACAAAAUAUCAAUUCAAGCUCCCGCAAUUAUUGUAUGUGGUGCAAAAGUUGAUUGGGGUUUGGAUGGAUCUUCCUUCUGUGCAAUCCCCAAUUACAGAAAGAUGAGCUCCUGCAAUAUGAAAUUGUAUGGGGCCUUCAGAGCCUGAAGCAAAACAGACAUCUUUAGUUAUGGGAUCUGAGCAUCAGAGUGAAACUAGUGAUGGUUUGAAGAUAAAUCCUGCCUCAAAUUCUAGUGAAGAAAAUCAUACUGCCCAUGAAAAAAGGUUAAGCUCAGCAUCCGCCUCAUCUUCUUGUUCUUCAUUUGAAGAUCCCGGGUUCUCCCCAAGCGAGACUGCCCUCAACACCGGAUCAGCAACACAAUCUCCUCCAACGCAACUGAUGGAGCGACCUACUGAGACGGCCACCUCCUCCUCAUAUAGGAUUCCAUCUUCUGUGUUUGCCAGCAAACCUUCAGGCCCAAAUGACUGGAGUGUUGCUUCUAGUGAAUCUUUGUUCAGUAUUCACAUGGGGAAUAUGAGCUUCACUAGAGAUGAAGCAAACUGGUUGGGUAAAUCUGGAGAGAUUGGUUUAAUAGGUGAUCAUGCCCUGUCUGGCUCCUUCUCUCCAAUGUUUGAUUUUUCAAGUAAACGACAUUCGAGUAAUCAGUCACCGAAUAAUAUAUCUGGCGAAA